RNAcentral lists this ribosomal RNA (2601 nucleotides) under Triticum aestivum (bread wheat). Its description in RNAcentral is "partial small subunit ribosomal RNA". The record is from RNAcentral. Lineage: Eukaryota; Viridiplantae; Streptophyta; Magnoliopsida; Poales; Poaceae.
AUGGGUCCUCUUCCUCCUUUCUCAGAGUGGCAGACAACGUGCACUAGGCCAUCUCUUCCUCUUCUCUCCAACUCAUUCAAUCAUUCACAGCACUCUUCUUCUUCCAUGGCCAUGGUUCCCCUCCACAUACUACUCGGCCUUCUCCUCCUCUUGCAAGCUACUCCUCCAUGCUCCUCAGCAAGUGGCGAUACUCUCGCGGCGGGCCAGGUGCUCACCGUCAGGGACAAGCUCGUCUCAGCAAACGGCAGGUUUGCGCUCGGCUUCUUCCAGUUUCCGCCACCAAGUAACACUACUGUUAGCAAGUCCAACACCACCACCUCCACCUCCCCAAGCUCCAACUGGUACCUUGUCAUAUGGUUUUACAAGAUACCAGUUUUUACUACCGUGUGGGUCGCCAAUAGGGACGACCCAAUCGUCGACCCCAAACCCAACCUCACACAGCUCAAAAUCUCAAGCGAUGGCAACCUUGUCAUCAUACACGAUGAUGUUGUAAUCUGGUCCACUCGCGUUGUAAACAACAAUAGGACACAAACCAACAGCAUAAACACCACCAGUGUAGUCCUCAUGGACAGUGCAAACCUAGUCCUUACAUCAUCAUCUGGACAACGGUUAUGGGAAAGCUUCGACUACCCAACAGAUGUUGUGCUCCCUGGCGCCAAAUUUGGCUGGAACAAGGUCACCCGUUUGAACCGUCGGGCAAUCUCGAGAAAGAGCACCGUUGAUCCGGGGCUUGGCUCGUAUAGCAUCGAGCUAGAAACCAAUGGCAAAGGGAUAGUCCUCAAGCGCCGUAAACCCUCGGUAGUGUAUCGGGUUUAUGCGCCUGAAAGUUCAGAGAUAUUGAAACUUUUACCAAGAAUCCAAAAGAUUCUACAAUUGGACCCACGAACAAAUGGUUUGAUUGUCCCAAAUUAUACCAAUAACCCAGAAGAGGAGUACUAUAUUUACACCUCGCCAGAUGAAUCAUCCUCCUCAUUUCUCUCGCUAGACAUCUCUGGUCAAAUCAAGCUGAAUAUCUGGUCACAAGCCAAUCAAUCUUGGCAAGCUGUAUUUGCCGACCCUGUUGAUGUCUGCACCCCAGCUGCAACCUGCGGACCUUUCACGGUAUGCGACGCCAAUGCGCAACCACCAUGUGAUUGCAUGGAGAACUUCUCUAAGAAGUCGCCACAACAUUGGGCGUUUGGUGAUCGAACACAUGGGUGCAUCAGAAAUACACCGCUAUAUUGCACCAGUGGCAAGAACACGACAACUUCGACAGACAUGUUCCACCCAAUUGCUAAAGUUACAUUGCCCUACAACUCGCAAAGUGUAAACCUUGCUACCACUCGUAGUAAGUGUGAGGAAUCUUGUCUCAGCUCAUGCUCCUGCACGGCUUAUUCCUAUAGCAAUAGCAAUUGCUCUGUCUGGCAUGGGAAACUGCUUGCUGUAAGUCUCAGUGAUGGCCUUGAAAUUAGUUCUGAAGAUAUUCUUUACCUGCGCCUUGCCGCCAAAGAUCUGCCAAGUUUGGGAAAAGACAAAAGAAAACCAAAUGUUGGAGUUGUUACUGCUGCAAGCAUUAGUAGUUUUGGGUUACUAAUUCUCAUGUUGUUGUUAGUGAUUUGGAGGAAAAAACUUGGAUGGUGUGGUUCGCCGUUAUACGCCAAUCAAGGCCCUAGUGGGUUAAUCGCGUUUAGAUACAUUGAUUUAGCUCAUGCUACAAAAAACUUCUCUGAACAUUUGGGAACAGGUGGUUUUGGUUCUGUAUAUAAAGGAGCACUAAGUGACUCGACUACUAUAGCCGUAAAAAGGCUUGAUGGUGCCCGCCAGGGGGAGAAGCAAUUCAGAGCUGAGGUGAGCUCAAUUGGACUGAUUCAACAUGUUAACCUAGUCAAAUUGAUUGGUUUCUGUUGCCAAGGUGAUAACAGAUUACUUGUGUAUGAGCAUAUGUUUAAUGGAUCUCUUGAUGGACAUCUAUUUAAGAGCAAUGCCUUUGUCUUGAAUUGGGACAUUAGGUACCAAAUAGUCCUAGGAAUGGCUAGAGGACUAUCCUACUUGCAUCAGAGUUGUCGCGAGUGCAUCAUACACUGUGAUAUUAAGCCAGAGAACAUACUGCUCAAUGCAUCAUUUUCUCCUAAAAUUGCAGACUUUGGGAUGGCAGCUUUUGUGGGCAGGAACUUUAGUCGAGUCUUGACUACAUUCAGAGGAACUGUGGGUUAUCUUGCCCCAGAAUGGCUUAGUGGAGUUGCUAUCACACCCAAAGUUGAUGUUUACAGCUUUGGCAUGGUACUGUUUGAGAUCAUAUCAGGAAAGAGAAAUUUACCUGAAACAUGUACUGGUAGCGGUGCCGGCGAUCAUGUUGAAUAUUUCCCUCUGCAAGUCAUCAGCAAGCUUUGUGGGGGAGAUAUGCAAAGUUUGGUUGAUCCACAACUACAUGGUGACUUUGAUUUAAAACAGGCUGAGAGGGUUUGCAAAGUGGCAUUAUGGUGCAUCCAAGAUAACGAGUCUGAUCGACCGACGAUGGGUGAAGUGGUUCGGGUUCUCGAGGGUCUCCAGGAGAUCGACAUGCUUCCCAUGCCAAAGCUACUUGCAGCUAUAACUGGACGCCCUAAUGGAACUUCAGUGUAA